CCACCACCAAAGCAUUCUCUGGUGUUGAAGGCCCUGCAAAGCAGCAUCGCGGUGGCGGAGCGUCGUUUGCGACGCCCAACACACAAAACAAGCGGUGAGUGCUUUGGGGUGGGGUGACUGCGUACCUUUUGUAUAAUGGGUCAGCGACUUAUAUUCUGUAGCAAGGUUAACCGAAUAGGGGAGCCGGAGGGAAACCGAGUCUUAAUUGGGCGUUAAGUUGCAGGGUAUAGACCCGAAACCCGGUGAUCUAGCCAUGGGCAGGUUGAAGGUUGGGUAACACUAACUGGAGGACCGAACCGACUAAUGUUGAAAAAUUAGCGGAUGACCUGUGGCUGGGGGUGAAAGGCCAAUCAAACCGGGAGAUAGCUGGUUCUCCCCGAAAGCUAUUUAGGUAGCGCCUCGUGAAUUCAUCUCCGGGGGUAGAGCACUGUUUCGGCUAGGGGGCCAUCCCGGCUUACCAACCCGAUGCAAACUGCGAAUACCGGAGAAUGUUAUCACGGGAGACACACGGCGGGUGCUAACGUCCGUCGUGAAGAGGGAAACAACCCAGACCGCCAGCUAAGGUCCCAAAGUCAUGGUUAAGUGGGAAACGAUGUGGGAAGGCCCAGACAGCCAGGAUGUUGGCUUAGAAGCAGCCAUCAUUUAAAGAAAGCGUAAUAGCUCACUGGUCGAGUCGGCCUGCGCGGAAGAUGUAACGGGGCUAAACCAUGCACCGAAGCUGCGGCAGCGAACGUAUCACUUAAAGCGAUUCAGCGGGUUACGAUUGACGGAGCGAAGCGACGUCAAAGCGUAUACAAAGUCGAGUCGGUUUAAGGAUACGUUCGUUGGGUAGGGGAGCGUUCUGUAAGCCUGUGAAGGUGUGUCGUGAGGCAUGCUGGAGGUAUCAGAAGUGCGAAUGCUGACAUAAGUAACGAUAAAGCGGGUGAAAAGCCCGCUCGCCGGAAGACCAAGGGUUCCUGUCCAACGUUAAUCGGGGCAGGGUGAGUCGACCCCUAAGGCGAGGCCGAAAGGCGUAGUCGAUGGGAAACGGGUUAAUAUUCCCGUACUUGGUGUUACUGCGAAGGGGGGACGGAGAAGGCUAUGUUGGCCGGGCGACGGUUGUCCCGGUUUAAGCGUGUAGGUGUGUGUUCCAGGUAAAUCCGGUUCACUUUAACACUGAGGCGUGAUGACGAGGCACUACGGUGCUGAAGCAACAAAUGCCCUGCUUCCAGGAAAAGCCUCUAAGCAUCAGGUAACAUCAAAUCGUACCCCAAACCGACACAGGUGGUCAGGUAGAGAAUACCAAGGCGCUUGAGAGAACUCGGGUGAAGGAACUAGGCAAAAUGGUGCCGUAACUUCGGGAGAAGGCACGCUGACAUGUAGGUGAAGUGAUUUACUCAUGGAGCUGAAGUCAGUCGAAGAUACCAG
This 1407-nucleotide ribosomal RNA is filed under the name Salmonella enterica subsp. enterica serovar Infantis. RNAcentral describes it as "partial 23S ribosomal RNA". It matches the Rfam family "Bacterial large subunit ribosomal RNA", at positions 566 to 1789 of the family's 2925-position model. The record is from RNAcentral. Lineage: Bacteria; Pseudomonadati; Pseudomonadota; Gammaproteobacteria; Enterobacterales; Enterobacteriaceae.